Molecule: non-coding RNA, 115 nt
Organism: Triticum aestivum (bread wheat)
Lineage: Eukaryota; Viridiplantae; Streptophyta; Magnoliopsida; Poales; Poaceae
Source: Rfam
CUGGUACUCCCUCCGUUCAGAAUUACUUGUCUUGAAAAUGGAUGUAUCUAGAGCUAAAAUGCAUCUAGAUACACCCAUUUCUACAACAAGUAAUUCUGAACGGAGGAAGUAUGUG